This 253-nucleotide ribosomal RNA is filed under the name uncultured bacterium. RNAcentral describes it as "partial 16S ribosomal RNA". It matches the Rfam family "Bacterial small subunit ribosomal RNA", at positions 524 to 776 of the family's 1533-position model. The record is from RNAcentral.
UACGUAGGCAGCAAGCGUUGUUCGGAGUUACUGGGCGUAAAGAGUGUGUAGGCGGUUCUCUAAGUUCGGUGUGAAAUCUCCCGGCUCCACUGGGAGGGUGCAGCGGAAACUGGAAUGCUAGAGUGUGGGAGAGGUAAGCGGAAUUCCUGGUGUAGCGGUGAAAUGCGUAGAUAUCAGGAGGAACACCUGCGGUGUAGACAGCUUACUGGACCACGACUGACGCUGAGACACGAAAGCGUGGGUAGCAAACAGG